CCUCGAAAUAGCUUUAGGGCUAGCCUUGAGGUAAAGUCUAAUGGAGGUAAAGCACUGAUUGGACGCGGGUCCCCAAAAGGAUACCAACUUCUAUCAAACUCAGAAUGCCAUAUAGAUAUACUCAGGAGUCAGACUAUGUGAGAUAAGUUUCAUAGUCAAAAGGGAAAGAGCCCAGACCGACAGCUAAGGUCCCAAAGUGUGUGUUAAGUGGAAAAGGAUGUUAGGUUUCUAAGACAACUAGGAUGUUGGCUCAGAAGCAGCCACUCAUUUAAAGAGUGCGUAACAGCUCACUAGUCGAGAGGUCUAGCGCCGAAAAUGUCCGGGGCUAAAACACACCACCGAAGCUACGGAAUUACCUAUGGUAAUUGGUAGAGGAGCAUUCUGUAAGGAUGAAGCACAAUUGAAAGAGAGUGUGGACGAAACAGAAGAGAGAAUGCCGGAAUGAGUAGCGAGAUAUAUGUGAGAAUCAUAUAGGUCGAAUGUCUAAGGUUUCCUGGGUAAAGCUGAUCUGCUCAGGGUAAGUCGGGACCUAAGGUGAGGGCGAGAGCCGUAAUCGAUGGACAACAGGUAGAAAUUCCUGUACUACGUAUAAUCAGAACUGUGGGGACGCAGGAGGAUAGGAAAACCGGAGAAUGGAAAAAUCCGGCUAAGUACAAAGGUGUGAGUGAUAGGCAAAUCCGUCACUAUUAGCUGAAGUACGAAUGGGAGCGAAGAAAAGUAGCGAAGUUUCUGAAUCCACACUGUCAAGAAAAGCCGCUAUUGCGUUAUACGUACCCGUACCGCAAACCGACACAGGUAGACGAGGAGAAAAUCCACAGACCGACGGGAGAAGUGUUGUUAAGGAACUCGGCAAAAUGACCCCGUAACUUAGGGAUAAGGGGAGCCAACGCAAGUUGGUCACAGAAAAGAGGCUCAAGCGACUGUUUAGCAAAAACAUAGGUCUAUGCGAAACCGUAAGGUGAUGUAUAUGGGCUGACACCUGCCCGGUGCUGGAAGGUCAAAAGGAGAGGUUAGCGCAAGCGAAGCCUUGAAUUCAAGCCCCAGUAAACGGCGGCCGUAACUAUAACGGUCCUAAGGUAGCGAAAUUCCUUGUCAGGUAAGUUCUGACCCGCACGAAAGGUGUAACGAUUUGAGCACUGUCUCGACAACACGCCCGGUGAAAUUGAAGAACCAGUGAAGAUACUGGUUACCCGCAACAGGACGGAAAGACCCCAUGGAGCUUUACUGCAGCUUAAUAUUGGGAUUCGGUAUUGUAUGUACAGGAUAGGAGGGAGACUAAGAAGCUAGCACGCCAGUGUUGGUGGAGUCGAUGGUGGGAUACCUCUCUUAUAAUACUGAAUUUCUAACCUACUUCCGUGAUCCGGAAGAGGGACAUUGUUAGGCGGGCAGUUUGACUGGGGCGGUCGCCUCCGAAAGAGUAACGGAGGCGCUCAAAGGUCUUCUCAGAAUGAUUGGAAACCAUUCAAAGAGUGUAAAGGCAAAAGAAGGCUUGACUGCGAGAGUGACAACUCGAGCAGGUACGAAAGUAGGACUUAGUGAUCCGGUGGUAACAAGUGGGAGUGCCAUCGCUUAACGGAUAAAAGCUACCCUGGGGAUAACAGGCUUAUCUCCCCCAAGAGUUCACAUCGACGGGGAGGUUUGGCACCUCGAUGUCGGCUCAUCGCAUCCUGGAGCUGAAGUCGGUUCCAAGGGUUGGGCUGUUCGCCCAUUAAAGCGGUACGCGAGCUGGGUUCAGAACGUCGUGAGACAGUUCGGUCCCUAUCCGUUGUGGGCGUAGGAAAUUUGAUAGGAGCUGUCCUUAGUACGAGAGGACCGGGAUGGACGAACCUCUGGUGAAUCUGUUGGUAACCAAUGCCACAGCAGAAUAGCCAAGUUUGGAACGGAUAAACGCUGAAGGCAUCUAAGCGUGAAGCCAACCUAAAGACUAGAUUUCCCAUGCGAAAGCAGUAAGACUCCUUGU
This 1960-nucleotide ribosomal RNA is filed under the name human gut metagenome. RNAcentral describes it as "bacterial LSU rRNA". It matches the Rfam family "Bacterial large subunit ribosomal RNA", at positions 857 to 2841 of the family's 2925-position model. The record is from RNAcentral.